GUAUAUAAUUCAAUUUUAUUUUCUCUCCCCUUUUUUAUUAUUUUUAUUUUUAGCUGAAAAGACGUAAAGGCAGUCAGCCCAGUGGUGUUUCUGGAGAGGGAUUCCUUCAGAAAUGGAGAAGACAGAAAGCUGCGGAGGCAGAUAUUUGCAGCAGUCUAAAAUAUCGAGCUCAACAGCUAUUUUAAGAGCCAACCCUCACAAACCUUCCUAAAACCUAAAAGAGCUAUUACUGAGUCUCAGCGAAUCUUGCCAUGAUCAGCUCUUCCCAGAAGAGAAGGAAGACCAAGGAAAUGAUUUGCUCAGGAUGAGGAAUGAAGACGGCCAUCUUGAGCUCAAACAAACAGAAGUCCUCUGAUGAUCUCAUCAGCCAAAUGAGAGGUUUUGACCAAGUGAUGCUCUUGAAAGGAGUGAAAGAAGAGGAUGUGGUAAAUUGUCUUCAGAGAAAAAGCUUCUCAAAAGGUCUUAAAACAGCUCGAAGAAUGGUCUGGGAUGUUAGGACUGAGAGAUCCUCUGGCUGAGAACAAGCUACACCACAUCAGUGCUGGAUAUCAACCACAAACAGUUUCCAGACACGAGAGAAGAAGAACACGAUGGGGAGAUGAAACCAGUUUAGAUGUGAUGAUGGGAAUCAUUAUUUUCUGGAACAGUAUCACAUGUCUUAUAUGUAUCACAUGAUCUGUAUCACAGUUGACUGGAUGGGACUGUGUGACUUUUAAGGACAUUUCAUCACUCAUCUGUGUGAACUGAUUUAUAUAUGAGGUUAAUGUAUCUUUGAUGAUAAUUAUUUUCAUUGAAUCUUAUUUGUCUUGAUGCUACUUUAUCAACUUUAUAGUCUAUGCUUCAAUAAAAUGAAAAUGGUGAA
Molecule: long non-coding RNA, 862 nt
Organism: Carassius gibelio (silver crucian carp)
Lineage: Eukaryota; Metazoa; Chordata; Actinopteri; Cypriniformes; Cyprinidae
Exons: 5
Source: RefSeq, a predicted model, not a curated record